CAACCACGGCAGUAGUGGAUCAAGGGUUGAACUUGAUGAUCUCGGAGAUCCCUUCCAACCCAUAGACUGAUUCUAUGAUUGGGUCAGAGACAAGUGCGUGUGAGCCAGCAGAGUGCCCAGGUGUCCAAGAAGGCAGUGGCAUCCUGGCCUGUGUCAGAAAUAAUGUGGCCAACAGGACCAGGGCAGUGAUCAGCCCCCUCAGUGACCCACUUAAUGGAUGAAGGAAAAGCUUGGAUGUGUCUACCUGGACUUCAGUAAGGCCUUUGACACAGUUUCCCACAUCAUUCUGGAGAAACUGGCUGCUCAAGGUUUGGCCAGGUGUGCUUUUCACUGAGUAGAAAACUCUCUGGAUGGCAAGGCCCAGAGUGUUCGUGAGUGGAGUUGCAUCCAGCUGGUGGCCCGUCACUGGUGCUGUUCCCCAGGGCUCAGAAUUGGGGCCGGUUCUGUUUAAUACUAAUCUUUAUCAAUUAUGUGAAUGAGGAGAUCAAGGGCACCUUCAGUCAGCCUUAGACAUACCAAGUUGUAUGGGAGUGUUGAUCUACUGGAGGCUGGAAAGACUGCAAAAGCAUCUGGACAGGCUGAAUCAAUGGGCUGAGGGCAAUGAUAUGAGGUUCAACAAGGCAAAGUGCCUGGCCCUGCACUUAGGUCAUGACAACCCCAUGCAGUGCUCCAGGUUCGGGGAUGAGUGGCUGGAAAGCACUCUGGAGGAAGAGGACCUGGAGGUGUUGGUUGACAGCAGCCGAACAUGAGCCAGCAGAGUGCCCAGAGAUGAUCCUUGUGGGGAAGGAAAGGACUUCUGUCUUCAUCACUUCAAGGAUUAUUGGGCGUUGGGGCCACCUCCUUCUCCGUUUUCAUCCUGUGAUGCAGGACUGUCUCCAUCUUCCCAACCUCUUUUUGUGUGUGCUGUGUCAGGAAACCUGCAUCUCCUUUGAGCCUGCACUUGGCACAGCUUUGUGUCAUAUCCCUUUUCUGGAAAAAGUGGGUAACAGGAGGCUCUUUUUGAACUCAGGUUUCACGAAAAUAAAUGUGAAUUAGAAUUAGUGAUUCCGAACAUAAACAAUUUUGUGAAUACAGUAACAACAUCUUGGCAAAUGAAAUUUGUGGUGAUAAAACAGGCAGACUGGCUCAUUUCAGAACCAAGGUACAUUAUGAUGCGAUACUUUCCCUCAGUCAUGUGUUCCACUUGGAAGCUCUGUAUCUGAAAUAACUGCUCCAGUGCUUCAGAAUACUUCAUUUAAAAGUCAUUGACAAUUUCAACAUGAACUGAAGUUUAAAAAUAAACAUACUUAUUCUUCACUUUUUUGUACCUACUAAAGUUUAAGUGGUUUGCAAUUACAGAACUUACAAAAUACAGUGAAUUUGAAGGUGAGUUCUCCAAAUGAUCUUUAACAAUUAUAAUUCCUUUUGAAGUCAUACAAGUCUUAACUGUUGCUUAAACAAAACUAUAUUCUGUAUGUGUACUGACUUUGUGAACCACAAAUGUGGCUUAAUUAACAUGUGAUGAUUCUUGAUAUAUUACAUGCCACUUGGAGAGACAAAAAAUACUCAUUCUGAUGUGCAAAUGUGUUUGUGCCUUUACCAUAUAUUAGUUUUCAUUUUAAAAUAAUAUAAAAUACUACAAUGGAUAUAUAUAAAUUUCCAUUAAGCUGGUUUCAGUAUUCACAAAAAAGAUCAGUCAUUUCUAAUAGGGAGUGUAUUAAUUUUCCUCAAGCCUCACAUCAUGAUAAACUGUAGAAACUUUGUACCAGUGGUAAUUAAUGUCAGUCUGGAAUAGCAAGUUUUAAAACAACACUGGGAAAAAAUCCAUUGUGACUUGUUGAAGAAAAUAUUUCUGUGGAGUAGCCCCUCAAUACCCAAAGUUAUCAUAUACUGAAGUACUGUUUCUGGAAUAUUUUUCAGAACAGUGUAUCAGUGAUCUGAAUUCUGUUUACAGAUUUCUGUGAAGAAGUUUUACUUAAAAGCAAAGUAAUAGAAUGAGUUUCUGCUUAGAAUUGAAAGUAAACAGAACUUUGUAACCAAUGAACAAUUAAUACCAUAGGAAAAAAAGGAAAGCUGUGAUAUCUAAUGAAGAUAUUACUUUCUCUUUUUACAACCUACAGUGGAUGAAGAGCUACUGUUUUAAAGAUUACGUUGGUAAUGAUUUAGAAGAGUCAGAAUAAACUGAAGAGUAUACCUACAUUAUUAGGAACUUUAUGAUGUACAGUAUUAAUAUGCAUUACUUACUAUUUUAGGGUAAUAAACUGGCUAAAAAAAAAAGCCCACAUUAUUUUUGUUUCUUUGUUUAGCAGUAUGGUAUAUUUUCAGAGUUAAAUCAAUAGAGAGGUUUGCACAGCAGGGCUUUUGCCAUACGUCAGCAGAAGUGGAAAAGGCAAUACAUGGUAAUAAAGGGGUGAACUUCUGUCUU
Molecule: long non-coding RNA, 2404 nt
Organism: Corapipo altera (White-ruffed manakin)
Lineage: Eukaryota; Metazoa; Chordata; Aves; Passeriformes; Pipridae
Exons: 2
Source: RefSeq, a predicted model, not a curated record